Molecule: ribosomal RNA, 1353 nt
Filed under: uncultured bacterium
Lineage: Bacteria
Description: bacterial SSU rRNA
Rfam family: Bacterial small subunit ribosomal RNA
Source: RNAcentral
GACGAACGCUGGUGGCGUGCUUAACACAUGCAAGUCGAACGGUGAAGCCCAGCUUGCUGGGUGGAUCAGUGGCGAACGGGUGAGUAACACGUGAGCAACCUGCCCUCCACUUCGGGAUAAGCCUUGGAAACGGGGUCUAAUACCGGAUAUGAGCGCCUGCCGCAUGGUGGGUGUUGGAAAGUUUUUCGGUGGGGGAUGGGCUCGCGGCCUAUCAGCUUGUUGGUGGGGUAAUGGCCUACCAAGGCGUCGACGGGUAGCCGGCCUGAGAGGGCGACCGGCCACACUGGGACUGAGACACGGCCCAGACUCCUACGGGAGGCAGCAGUGGGGAAUAUUGCACAAUGGGCGAAAGCCUGAUGCAGCGACGCCACGUGAGGGAUGACGGCCUUCGGGUUGUAAACCUCUUUCAGCAGGGAAGAAGCGCAAGUGACGGUACCUGCAGAAGAAGCGCCGGCUAACUACGUGCCAGCAGCCGCGGUAAUACGUAGGGCGCAAGCGUUGUCCGGAAUUAUUGGGCGUAAAGAGCUCGUAGGCGGUCUGUCGCGUCUGGUGUGAAAUCCCAUGGCUCAACUGUGGGCUUGCAUCGGGUACGGGCAGACUAGAGUGCUGUAGGGGAGACUGGAAUUCCUGGUGUAGCGGUGGAAUGCGCAGAUAUCAGGAGGAACACCGAUGGCGAAGGCAGGUCUCUGGGCAGUUACUGACGCUGAGGAGCGAAAGCAUGGGGAGCGAACAGGAUUAGAUACCCUGGUAGUCCAUGCCGUAAACGUUGGGCACUAGGUGUGGGGCCAGUUCCACUGGUUCUGUGCCGCAGCUAACGCAUUAAGUGCCCCGCCUGGGGAGUACGGCCGCAAGGCUAAAACUCAAAGGAAUUGACGGGGGCCCGCACAAGCGGCGGAGCAUGCGGAUUAAUUCGAUGCAACGCGAAGAACCUUACCAAGGCUUGACAUGUACGAGAAAGCCCCAGAGAUGGGGUUCUCUUUGGACACUCGUACACAGGUGGUGCAUGGUUGUCGUCAGCUCGUGUCGUGAGAUGUUGGGUUAAGUCCCGCAACGAGCGCAACCCUUAUCCUAUGUUGCCAGCGGGUUAUGCCGGGGACUCAUGGGAGACUGCCGGGGUCAACUCGGAGGAAGGUGGGGAUGACGUCAAAUCAUCAUGCCCCUUAUGUCUUGGGCUUCACGCAUGCUACAAUGGCCGGUACAGAGGGCUGCGAUACCGUGAGGUGGAGCGAAUCCCAAAAAGCCGGUCUCAGUUCGGAUCGGGGUCUGCAACUCGACCCCGUGAAGUCGGAGUCGCUAGUAAUCGCAGAUCAGCAACGCUGCGGUGAAUACGUUCCCGGGCCUUGUACACACCGC